AUGGAGUGGAGCUGGAUCACUCUCUUCCUCAUGUCACCAACUACAGGUGUCCACUCCCAGCUGCAGCAAUCUGUGCCUGAGCUUGUGAGGCCUGGGACCUCAGUGAAAUUGUCCUGCAGGGCAUGUGAUGAUAUUACUAAAUAUUAUAUUCACUGGGUGAAGGAGAGGACUGGACAGGGCCUGGAAUGGAUUGGAGGUAUUGAUCCUGAUGAUGUUGAUGAUACUGACUAUGCUCAGAAGUUCCAGGGCAAGGCCACACUGACUGCAGACACAUUCUCCAACACAGCCUACUUGGAGCUCAGAGGCCUGACUUCUGAAGACUCUGCAAUCGAUUACUGUGCCAAAUAUUGGGGAAGUAAUCAGCUCUUCUUUUAUUGGUUUACUGGCUCUUUGGGAGCCUACUCUGUUUGGAUGCCCACAUGCCUAGACCUGGAUGGUGCUCUGCACCAGGUGUAG
Microtus ochrogaster (prairie vole) is the source of this 456-nucleotide non-coding RNA. The record is from the annotation of a RefSeq genome assembly. Lineage: Eukaryota; Metazoa; Chordata; Mammalia; Rodentia; Cricetidae.